CUUCUAUAAGCAUUGUCAACAAGAGUACGUAUCCGUACAUAUUCUUCCUUCCUUGCCUUCUCUGAGAGUUUUGCAUUCUGCCUCUCCAUCCACCUCUUAUGUUCGCGAGACUCAGCUUGCUCAAGGUCAAACUCAUCAGCAUGUGGGAACUCUCUCCAGCUCUUAAAGCUGUACCAAAAAUCAUAAAAGUUUUCAACUUCUUUUAAGGGAGUGUUAUCAUCACCAAGAGAUGGGACUGGCUGGUUUACUGACCAUCGUCCAUUCCUCAUAAAUGCAGGACCAAACACCCUGAAGAAGUCGUGAGAUGCGCAGUCAGUGGGAAUUUCAUCAUCAAACUC
This 338-nucleotide unclassified non-coding RNA is filed under the name Hevea brasiliensis (rubber tree). The record is from RNAcentral. Lineage: Eukaryota; Viridiplantae; Streptophyta; Magnoliopsida; Malpighiales; Euphorbiaceae.